AGUGAACGCUGGCGGUAGGCCUAACACAUGCAAGUCGAACGGCAGCACAGUAAGAGCUUGCUCUUACGGGUGGCGAGUGGCGGACGGGUGAGGAAUACAUCGGAAUCUACUUUUUCGUGGGGGAUAACGUAGGGAAACUUACGCUAAUACCGCAUACGACCUACGGGUGAAAGCAGGGGAUCUUCGGACCUUGCGCGAUUGAAUGAGCCGAUGUCGGAUUAGCUAGUUGGCGGGGUAAAGGCCCACCAAGGGGACGAUCCGUAGCUGGUCUGAGAGGAUGGUCAGUCGUACUGGAACUGAUGCACCAUCCACUGUGCUACGGGAGGCAGCAGUGGCGAAUGUUGGUGCAUGGGCGGAAGCCUUGUCCAGCCCUGCCGCGUGGGUGAAAAAGGCGUUCGGGUUGUAAAGCCCUUUUAUUGGGAAAGAAAAGCAGCAGGUUAAAACCCCGCUGUUCUGACGGUACCCAAGGAAUAAGCACCGGCUAACUUCGUG
This 492-nucleotide ribosomal RNA is filed under the name uncultured bacterium. RNAcentral's name for it is "partial 16S ribosomal RNA". It matches the Rfam family "Bacterial small subunit ribosomal RNA", at positions 29 to 507 of the family's 1533-position model. The record is from RNAcentral.